Gallus gallus (chicken) is the source of this 1288-nucleotide long non-coding RNA. RefSeq lists it as uncharacterized. The transcript is spliced from 3 exons. Lineage: Eukaryota; Metazoa; Chordata; Aves; Galliformes; Phasianidae. The record is from RefSeq and is a predicted model, not a curated record.
GGGUGUUGUGCAAAAGAAGAAAAACAGACCAAGAAAGCUCCUGAGUAGAUUGAGCUGAAUAUGAGUGAUCCUCUAUGAACAACAGCUAACAGCACUCUAUGACAUGACUUGAAUAUUUUUCCUCACCACUGUAAAAUGAAAUCCAGAGGAUAAUCACAGAAUCCUCUAGUUGGAAGAGAUCUUCAAGAUCAUCAAGUCUAACCACCAACCUGACCUGACCUACUGAGCCCCAUCAUUGAAUCAUGCCCCCCCCAAAUACCUCCAUGGACAGGGUUUCACUCUGGCUUAUUCCACAUUUCAUUUCAGUAUUGAACUCUCUGUUUUGCAUUUGCACUAAUUUGGCAAAAUCUCUGUUACUUUCCACUUCUUGAAUUCUCUUUGAUCAUGAUAGAUCUCUCCGUUCAUGCUGUGUUGACCUGGAAAAUCCAGGCUUUUGUCUUCUCUGCUGUUUCUGUAUUCAUGGUGAGAUAAAACGCUCAGUUUGUUAGUAAUAGGGGAAGAGUGUAUAUAGGCUGGCAAAGCUGAUAUAGGCAAAGACUGUAUUAGCUUUGAUUAAUGAUCAUUCUGCGGUGCUGAAUGCCAUCAGUGCUUCCUUCUCAUCUGAACUCUGACACUACGCUCAGAGCUGUAGGUCAUCUGCUGUGGCAGAGUGGACUGGGAAUGCCUCUCCUCAAAUGCAUGAAGACAUGUGGAAAGGAACAGCAGUGUGUGGUGGUGGGAAGUAAAGUUGUUACAGUUUGGAAAGGUUUGAACCUUCAAGGAAAUCAACAUCUUCAGAAACGUGGUCUUCCAUGCUAUGCAUCUAUUUCUAAGUAAUCACUGUUUUCAAUCUAGUGAGCGUAUUUAAGCAAAGAAACUUACCAUGUUAUCCUACCUCACCUGAAUUUUCAAUUAAGAUGAAAUUAUAUUUUUAGCAUCUCUCUAUUAUCUGGUAUAGAGGACACAAUGCAGUCUAAUCUAAAAGUAAUUAACUUAUGCUGAAAAAAUAAGGGACAUAGCUGAGUAUCAUACAGCUCCUGGGAAAAUGCAUUUCUAAAGUGUGACUGGAGCCUACAUACAGUGAACACAGUUCUUAGGAAUAUUUUCAUGCUUUAUAUGUAUGCUGUGUCAUGUUUUAAAAGUUGGCGUUUGAGAUUUAUUUCUACCACCUCCAACAUUUUAAAUUGGCUUCCCCAUCCUUCAGUUAAAAACUUACGUUGUAAUAACCUAGGAAUAAAUCUGAAGGUGCUUCAAGGUUUUUAUCCAAGAGGAAAUUCGUGUUAUAGGACAUGAAGUGUUUUUCAACUCA